CACAACGACAUGGGGUGCGCGGAGUCCGCGCUGAGAUCACACCCACGGAACCUGCUCUAGUUCGAACUAGCGAAGGGAUUGUCAUGACUUUUCUGC
Corynebacterium pollutisoli is the source of this 96-nucleotide non-coding RNA. Lineage: Bacteria; Bacillati; Actinomycetota; Actinomycetes; Mycobacteriales; Corynebacteriaceae. The record is from Rfam.